Molecule: long non-coding RNA, 233 nt
Filed under: Elaeis guineensis (African oil palm)
Lineage: Eukaryota; Viridiplantae; Streptophyta; Magnoliopsida; Arecales; Arecaceae
Description: long non-coding RNA (EGUI_LNC077214)
Source: RNAcentral
UGGCGAUGGAAAGAAAAAGCAAAGAAAUAAAAAUAGGGGUUUCGACCCUUUUGUGGCUAUUUUACAUGAUUUCUGAUGAUGGGGCUCUAACCAUAGCCAAGAGUAGCAAACAAGAACAAAUCCCUAACUCUGACGACAAGUGCCAGUAGUGGAGGAAGCUAGAAAUAGAUGAUCAAAGAAAAUUUUUCAAAUCCAAAAAUAGGGGAUUAUGGGUGUUUCUUUUCCUUGGAUCU